Molecule: RNA transcript, 4198 nt
Organism: Eutrema salsugineum
Lineage: Eukaryota; Viridiplantae; Streptophyta; Magnoliopsida; Brassicales; Brassicaceae
Gene name: protein STABILIZED1
Exons: 3
Source: RefSeq, a predicted model, not a curated record
AGAAUCUCGAUUACGUAACAAUGGUGUUCCUCUCGAUUCCCAACGGGAAGACUCUUUCGAUCGAUGUGAACCCUAAUUCGACCACCAUCUCCGCCUUCGAACAAUUGGUCCACCGGCGCGCCGAUGUUCCCCAACCUUUCGUUCGUUACUCGCUCCGCAUGCGAAACCCUAGCCGUAUGUUCGGUGAUUCGAAGAAUUCCGAUUCGGUCCUGUUAUCUGAUCUCGGUGUUUGUCGUUUCUCCACUGUGAUUAUCCAUGUCCCUCUUUUGGGCGGUAUGCAAGGAGUGGCUCCGCCAAAGGCUCGUCUCGAUUUCCUCAAUUCAAAGCCUCCGUCUAAUUAUGUCGCGGGUUUGGGUCGUGGUGCCACAGGGUUUACCACUCGGUCUGAUAUUGGUCCCGCUCGUGCUGCUCCGGAUCUGCCUGAUCGAUCCGCCACGGCUACAGCGGCUGCUCCAGGAGUUGGUCGAGGGGCAGGGAAGCCAAGUGAGGCGGAUGACGAUGAAGAAGCUGAGGAGAAAGGGUACGAUGAGAAUCAGAAGUUUGAUGAGUUUGAAGGGAAUGAUGCGGGUUUGUUUGCUAAUGCUGAGUACGAUGAGGAUGACAAAGAAGCUGAUGCGAUCUGGGAGUCUAUUGAUCAGAGGAUGGAUUCGAGGAGGAAAGAUCGGAGAGAAGCGAAGCUCAAGGAAGAGAUCGAGAAGUACCGAGCCUCAAACCCUAAAAUUACUGAGCAGUUUGCGGAUUUGAAGAGGAAAUUGCACACUUUGUCUGCGGAUGAAUGGGAUAGUAUUCCUGAGAUUGGGGAUUACUCGCUGCGUAACAAGAAGAAGAAGUUUGAGAGCUUUGUGCCUAUUCCUGAUACGCUUUUGGAGAAGGCUAAGAAGGAAAAAGAGCUUGUCAUGGCCUUAGACCCAAAGAGUCGAGCGGCUGGUGGGUCGGAGACACCAUGGGCGCAGACUCCCGUGACAGACUUGACUGCCGUCGGUGAGGGAAGAGGUACGGUGUUGUCUCUGAAGCUUGAUAGGUUAUCGGAUUCAGUUUCAGGGCAAACUGUUGUGGAUCCUAAAGGCUACUUAACUGAUUUGAAAAGUAUGAAAAGAACCACUGAUGAAGAGAUUUACGAUCGCAACAGGGCUAGAUUGUUAUAUAAGAGUCUAACACAGUCGAAUCCAAAGAAUCCCAAUGGCUGGAUUGCUGCCGCUAGAGUGGAGGAAAUGGAUGGGAAAAUAAAAGCGGCUAGGCUUCAGAUUCAGAGAGGCUGCGAAGAGUGCCCGAAAAAUGAGGAUGUUUGGCUUGAAGCUUGUAGGUUGGCCAAUCCAGAAGAUGCCAAGGCGGUGAUUGCAAAGGGAGUAAAACUAAUACCCAAUUCCGUGAAGCUAUGGUUGGAGGCUGCAAAGCUGGAGCAUGAUGAGGAGAACAAGAGUAGGGUGUUGAGAAAGGGGCUGGAGCAUAUUCCAGACUCGGUAAGGCUAUGGAAGGCUGUUGUUGAGUUGGCUAAUGAGGAAGAUGCAAGGAUUUUGCUUCACAGGGCUGUGGAGUGCUGCCCUUUGCAUCUGGAGCUAUGGGUGGCGCUUGCAAGGCUUGAAACAUACGACAAUUCGAAGAAGGUGUUGAAUAGAGCAAGAGAGAAGCUCCCUAAGGAGCCUGCAAUUUGGAUCACCGCUGCUAAGCUAGAGGAAGCUAAUGGGAACAAAGCUAUGGUGGGAAAGAUUAUUGAUAGGGGUAUAAAGACUCUGCAGAGAGAAGGGGUUGUUAUUGACCGAGAAAAUUGGAUGAAUGAGGCAGAGGCUUCUGAAAGAGCCGGGUCUGUCGCAACAUGCCAGGCAAUUAUUAAGAACACUAUCGGUAUUGGAGUCGAGGAAGAGGAUAGAAAGAGAACUUGGGUUGCUGAUGCAGAGGAGAGCAAGAAGAGGGGUUCCAUUGAGACCGCAAGAGCAAUAUACGCCCAUGCUCUUACUGUAUUCUUGACUAAGAAAAGUAUCUGGCUUAAAGCGGCGCAGCUUGAGAAGAGCCACGGGAGUAGGGAGUCCCUUGAUGCUUUGUUACGUAAGGCUGUGACAUAUGUCCCUCAGGCUGAGGUUCUCUGGCUCAUGGGCGCCAAAGAGAAGUGGCUUGCUGGAGAUGUUCCAGCAGCGCGUGCUAUUCUACAAGAGGCUUAUGCUGCAAUACCCAACUCUGAGGAAAUCUGGCUUGCUGCUUUCAAGCUCGAGUUUGAGAACAAGGAGCCGGAGAGGGCAAGAAUGCUUCUUGCAAAAGCAAGGGAAAGAGGAGGGACUGAGAGGGUCUGGAUGAAAUCAGCCAUUGUUGAGAGAGAGCUUGGCAACGUAGAGGAGGAGAGGAGAUUGCUUGAUGAAGGUUUGAAGCAAUUUCCAAAGUUCUUCAAGUUUUGGUUGAUGCUUGGGCAGCUCGAGGAACGGCUCAAUCAUCUGGAACAGGCCAAGAAAGCUUACAGCUCUGGCACGGAGCACUGUCCCGACUGCAUACCGCUGUGGCUCUCGCUCGCUAAUCUUGAAGAGAAAGUGGAUGGUGCGAACAAAGCUCGGGGUACUCUCACCAGGGCCAGGAAGAAGAAUCCUGCGAACGCUGAGCUAUGGUUAGCUGCUGUUCGUACUGAACUGAGGCAUGGGAACAAGAAAGAAGCAGAGCACAUGAUGUCAAAGGCUCUGCAAGAGUGUCCCCACAGUGGUAUCCUCUGGGCUGCCGACAUUGAGAUGGCGCCACGUCCUCGCCGGAAAACAAAGAGUAUGGAUGCUAUGAAGAAGUGUGAUCAUGACCCGCAUGUCACUGCAGCUGUCGCCAAGCUCUUCUGGCAAGACAAGAAGGUGGAGAAAGCCAGAUCGUGGUUGAAACGGGCUGUGACCCUCGCCCCAGAUAUUGGUGAUAUCUGGGCGUUGUAUUACAAAUUUGAACUUCAGCAUGGCUCUGAAGAGAACCAGAAGGAGGUCGUUGCCAAGUGUGUAGCUUGUGAGCCGAAGCAUGGUGAGAAGUGGCAAGCUAUCGCCAAAGCGGUGGAGAAUGCACACCAGCCUGUCGAGGUCAUCUUGAUAAGAGUCGCGGUUGCAAUGAGCAAGGAAGAGAAGGCUGCUUGAGAGUAACAAAUUCCCUUUUGUUUUUCAUUAUCAUAGCACAUUACAUCUUGGUUCUUGUUUUCUCUUUGCAGGCUCAACUUUUAGCAGUUCAUGUUUUUUCUUCAGUAGCGAGAACUGGUAUUGAUUUGCUGGAGUGUUUUCACCUGAUACUUGUAAAAUUCCCAGUUUCCUGAAUGCUUCAGUCUUCUUUGAGCUUUGUCUUCCUGGUGUCUAAGAUUGGCGUGUGGUACAAGUCAUGAAAAUCCACUCCAAAGCUACUUUAGACAGUUAAAUCCCAGGAGAAUAUAAUAAACAAACUCUUGCAUGUUUAAAUCAACCAACUAGUAUCUUGCUAACCGCCCACUAUUUCUUUGCCUUCUCUACAACAAUUGCUUCUUUCGGAGAUAUGAUUCUCAAACAAGGACUAGCGCUUAUACCAGCUUCAGUAGAGACCCCGGACUCUGAGAGACUUGGGCCGUGGUAACUACAGUAUGUUUAACUCUUGAGUAACUAGUUUGUUAGUGCUAACGUUUUGCUAGAGACUUGUUUUGCGGGUGAUCUGUUCUAGUCUUUUCCCGAGAUCCUCUUUAAGAUUCUUUGAACUGUCCAGUUGUUAUGAUGCAACCAGGGUUAGGUAGAACCUAAUGGGAACCCCGGAUUUUCUUGUCAUGGCGUCUCUGAAACCGCAGAUCAACUUUGCUUGCCUCUAUUGAAAUCGCAGUCAUCAACAGCUACUCGUUCCAUUGGAGUGAGGUCUCUGAGUUUACCAUUGUAUUGGCGUUUCCUACAAGUCUUCGUGAUGCCUGAACUUGUCGCAGUCAAUAGUUGUGAUAGAGCUUAUGAUGAUUAAACGUUUUCAUGAUUGGCUUUGUACAAGUUCUUGAAGACAUUGUGUCUGCCAAAAUCAGGAUCGAAUCCAUCACAACACAGCUGACUUUAUAGCCGUAAACUACUUGCCAGAUCUUAAGUCCCAUAGGGACCGGACUCAACUAAAAAUUAGGGACAAGUCAAAGAAAUUCUGCUUGGCCACUUGGUACGAAAACUGGACCCACACACUAGGCUGUAUUGAGCCCAUCACAACGUUUCUAACCAAACCUAUGUCUCUGUCUAGAAAAUGAACUGAACUUAACACG